UUUGGCGGCCGAAAAUUGCUCCGGUGCGGUGGCGGGUGGCGGCGGCUGGGCUGUCUUCUCCGGCAAGGGGCUCUGGCAGUUAGGGUUAGGGUUUGGGAGCGGAUGAGAUUAUUUAUAACCAUCUGCUUUUAAUAUGAGCCGUCCAUUGCGAUUUAAUUUAGGCCGUCCAAUCGUGAUUAAAUAGAAAAUGAAUCUGGACCGUUCAUCGCGAUGCAAUCUUGGCCGUCCGUGUGCGAUUCAAUUUGGACCGUCUGUGCGCAUGCAAUCUGGGCCGUCCGUGCGUGUUUUUGAUCUGGGCUGUCCGUGCGCGCAGGAACGGAUCUCAGCCGUUCGAUCGUGCGCACGCGGAUCGCCCACGUGGCUCCCUUCCGCGUGGCUUCCUGCGUCAGCAUCUCUGCCACGCGGCGUGUUCUUGUAGGCCAGGGCUGCUGACCGGGCUGCUGACGUGGCACAAUUUUUUUAAAU
RNAcentral lists this long non-coding RNA (465 nucleotides) under Carica papaya (papaya). RNAcentral's name for it is "long non-coding RNA (CPAP_LNC006188)". The record is from RNAcentral. Lineage: Eukaryota; Viridiplantae; Streptophyta; Magnoliopsida; Brassicales; Caricaceae.